This 493-nucleotide ribosomal RNA is filed under the name uncultured bacterium. RNAcentral describes it as "bacterial SSU rRNA". It matches the Rfam family "Bacterial small subunit ribosomal RNA", at positions 903 to 1397 of the family's 1533-position model. The record is from RNAcentral.
AAAUGAAUAGACGGGGACCCGCACAAGCAGUGGAGUAUGUGGUUUAAUUCGAAGCAACGCGAAGAACCUUACCAGGGCUUGACAUCUACUGAACCCCCAAGAGAUUGGGGGGUGCCUUCGGGAGCAGUAAGACAGGUGGUGCAUGGUUGUCGUCAGCUCGUGUCGUGAGAUGUUGGGUUAAGUCCCGCAACGAGCGCAACCCUUAUCGUUAGUUGCCAUCAUUAAGUUGGGCACUCUAGCGAGACUGCCGUUGACAAAACGGAGGAAGGUGGGGACGACGUCAAAUCAUCAUGCCCCUUAUGUCCUGGGCUACACACGUACUACAAUGGCUGUUAACAGAGGGAAGCGAAGCGGUGACGCGGAGCAAAUCCCCAAAAGCAGUCUCAGUUCGGAUUGCAGGCUGAAACCCGCCUGUAUGAAGUCGGAAUUGCUAGUAAUCGCGAAUCAGCAUGUCGCGGUGAAUACGUUCCCGGGUCUUGUACACACCGCCCGU